Molecule: ribosomal RNA, 468 nt
Filed under: uncultured bacterium
Lineage: Bacteria
Description: partial 16S ribosomal RNA
Rfam family: Bacterial small subunit ribosomal RNA
Source: RNAcentral
GACGAACGCUGGCGGCGUGCUUAACACAUGCAAGUCGAACGGAAAGGCCCUGCUUUUGUGGGGUGCUCGAGUGGCGAACGGGUGAGUAACACGUGAGUAACCUGCCCUUGACGUUGGGAUAACUUCAGGAAACUGGGGCUAAUACCGGAUAGGAGCUCCUGCUGCAUGGUGGGGGUUGGAAAGUUUCGGCGGUUGGGGAUGGACUCGCGGCUUAUCAGCUUGUUGGUGGGGUAGUGACUUACCAAGGCUUUGACGGGUAGCCGGCCUGAGAGGGUGACCGGCCACAUUGGGACUGAGAUACGGCCCAGACUCCUACGGGAGGCAGCAGUGGGGAAUAUUGCACAAUGGGCGGAAGCCUGAUGCAGCAACGCCGCGUGCGGGAUGACGGCCUUCGGGUUGUAAACCGCUUUCGCCUGUGACGAAGCGUGAGUGACGGUAAUGGGUAAAGAAGCACCGGCUAACUACGUG